Xenia sp. Carnegie-2017 is the source of this 640-nucleotide long non-coding RNA. RefSeq lists it as uncharacterized. The record is from RefSeq and is a predicted model, not a curated record. The transcript is spliced from 4 exons. Lineage: Eukaryota; Metazoa; Cnidaria; Anthozoa; Malacalcyonacea; Xeniidae.
AACUGAGAAAAUAGAUGAAACAUGUACGAGUGUACGACUACUUUGUCAAGUGAAGUGGCAUCUACGAGCGCAUCAGAAAUCAGAUCCUUGCCUGAUCCUACGUCAUAUGAAGAAAUUUGUGAGAAUACGUUGAGCAUUCCAGUUGCAGCCGACGUAGAGUGUUGAAUGUUACUUCAAAGAGACUAUGAUAAAAAGCAUAUUUGUUAAGUCAUCUUAAGAGUCAAGUGAGGAGUAAACGUCAGAAAGCCCUUACAGAUAUAGUAAUUUCAUUCAUCAAAAGAACUUUCUCACCAAAAUAUUGAAUGAUUUAAAAAGUGAUUCUAACGAGGUCAUUACAGAUUUGUUUUCAUUACGUGAAAAAUUAACUCACCAUAAUAACAUUCGUGUUCACAUGGCCUGUAAUGUAAAUACUUUACCAGAGAAGACGAGCGAGAUAUGGGAGACUGAAUUCAUUCCCAACUCUUGUCCAUAUAAAACACAACUACAGUUGGAGAAUGUGCAAAAUGUGUGUGUGUUUUUAUGAGAAAAUGUUGGAAGUAAAAUCAUCGGAGUUGGUUCUGUGGAAUUAUCAUUUCUCAUUCAAUGCUGUCGUUGUAUUCAAACUUACACAUUUCCAGAUUUUCCCGCUAUUUUAGUCUUC